This 377-nucleotide unclassified non-coding RNA is filed under the name uncultured Actinomycetes bacterium. RNAcentral's name for it is "uncultured actinobacterium contains 16S-23S intergenic spacer region". Lineage: Bacteria; Bacillati; Actinomycetota; Actinomycetes. The record is from RNAcentral.
UCCGAGUUGUCCCCGGCAGUCUCUUAUGAGUCCCCGGCAUAACCCGCUGGUAACAUAAGACAAGGGUUGCGCUCGUUGCGGGACUUAACCCAACAUCUCACGACACGAGCUGACGACAGCCAUGCACCACCUGUCAUGGGCCCUUUCGGACACCGUAUUUCUACGGCUUUCCCGACCAUGUCAAGCCUUGGUAAGGUUCUUCGCGUUGCGUCGAAUUAAACCACAUGCUCCGCUGCUUGUGCGGGCCCCCGUCAAUUCCAUUGAGUUUUAGCCUUGCGGCCGUACUCCCCAGGCGGGGCGCUUAAUGCGUUAGCUACGGCACGGAUCCCGUGGAAGGAAACCCACACCUAGCGCCCACCGUUUACGGCGUGGACUAC